GCACAGCUGACGAGUCCCAAAUAGGACGAAAUGCGCAUCCUGGAU
RNAcentral lists this non-coding RNA (45 nucleotides) under Trichobilharzia regenti. The record is from RNAcentral. Lineage: Eukaryota; Metazoa; Platyhelminthes; Trematoda; Strigeidida; Schistosomatidae.